RNAcentral lists this ribosomal RNA (455 nucleotides) under uncultured bacterium. Its description in RNAcentral is "bacterial SSU rRNA". It matches the Rfam family "Bacterial small subunit ribosomal RNA", at positions 56 to 507 of the family's 1533-position model. The record is from RNAcentral.
UGCAAGUCGAGCGGCAGCGCGGGGGCAACCCUGGCGGCGAGCGGCGAACGGGUGAGUAAUGCAUCGGAACGUACCCUGGAGUGGGGAUAACGCCGCGAAAGCGGCGCUAAUACCGCAUAUGCUCUGAGGAGGAAAGUGGGGGACCGCAAGGCCUCACGCUCUGGGAGCGGCCGAUGUCCGAUUAGCUAGUUGGUGGGGUAAAGGCUUACCAAGGCGACGAUCGGUAGCUGGUCUGAGAGGAUGAUCAGCCACACUGGGACUGAGACACGGCCCAGACUCCUACGGGAGGCAGCAGUGGGGAAUUUUGGACAAUGGGGGCAACCCUGAUCCAGCCAUGCCGCGUGAGUGAAGAAGGCCUUCGGGUUGUAAAGCUCUUUUGGUCGGGAAGAAAGCGCCUUGCCUAAUACGCGAGGUGGUUGACGGUACCGGCAGAAUAAGCACCGGCUAACUACGUG